UGGGGAAUAUUGGACAAUGGGGGCAACCCUGAUCCAGCCAUGCCGCGUGAGUGAUGAAGGCCUUCGGGUUGUAAAGCUCUUUUGGCGGGGACGAUGAUGACGGUACCCGCAGAAUAAGCCCCGGCUAACUUCGUGCCAGCAGCCGCGGUAAGACGAAGGGGGCUAGCGUUGUUCGGAAUUACUGGGCGUAAAGCGAGUGUAGGCGGUUGCCGUAGUCAGGUGUGAAAGCCUUGAGCUCAACUCAAGAAAAUGCACUUGAUACUGGGUGACUAGAGGACCGGAGAGGAUAGUGGAAUUCCCAGUGUAGUGGUGAAAAUACGUAGAGAUUGGGAAGAACACCAGUGGCGAAGGCGGCUAUCUGGACGGUUACUGACGCUAAGACUCGAAAGCGUGGGGAGCAAAACAGGAUUAGAUACCCUGGUAGUCCACGCCGUAAACGAUGGGUGCUAGACGUUGGCGAGCUUGCUCGUCAGUGUCGCAGCUAACGCGUUAAGCACCCCGCCUGGGGAGUACGGCCGCAAAGGUUGAAAACUCAAAAGGAAUUGACGGGGUCAUAGCUGUUUCCU
This 566-nucleotide ribosomal RNA is filed under the name uncultured bacterium. RNAcentral describes it as "partial 16S ribosomal RNA". It matches the Rfam family "Bacterial small subunit ribosomal RNA", at positions 355 to 1375 of the family's 1533-position model. The record is from RNAcentral.